This 696-nucleotide ribosomal RNA is filed under the name uncultured bacterium. Its description in RNAcentral is "bacterial SSU rRNA". It matches the Rfam family "Bacterial small subunit ribosomal RNA", at positions 66 to 755 of the family's 1533-position model. The record is from RNAcentral.
ACGGCAGCACGGGAGCAAUCCUGGUGGCGAGUGGCGAACGGGUGAGUAAUAUAUCGGAACGUGCCCAGUCGUGGGGGAUAACGCAGCGAAAGCUGUGCUAAUACCGCAUACGAUCUCUGGAUGAAAGCGGGGGACUCGUAAGAGCCUCGCGCGAUUGGAGCGGCCGAUAUCAGAUUAGCUAGUUGGUGGGGUAAAGGCCCACCAAGGCGACGAUCUGUAGCUGGUCUGAGAGGACGACCAGCCACACUGGAACUGAGACACGGUCCAGACUCCUACGGGAGGCAGCAGUGGGGAAUUUUGGACAAUGGGCGCAAGCCUGAUCCAGCAAUGCCGCGUGCAGGAUGAAGGCCUUCGGGUUGUAAACUGCUUUUGUACGGAACGAAAAGGUCUGCCUUAAUACGGUGGGCCCAUGACGGUACCGUAAGAAUAAGCACCGGCUAACUACGUGCCAGCAGCCGCGGUAAUACGUAGGGUGCGAGCGUUAAUCGGAAUUACUGGGCGUAAAGCGUGCGCAGGCGGUUAUAUAAGACAGAUGUGAAAUCCCCGGGCUCAACCUGGGACCUGCAUUUGUGACCGUAUAGCUAGAGUACGGUAGAGGGGGAUGGAAUUCCGCGUGUAGCAGUGAAAUGCGUAGAUAUGCGGAGGAACACCGAUGGCGAAGGCAAUCCCCUGGACCUGUACUGACGCUCAUGCACG